CCAACUCAGGGCUCAGCCUCGCUCUCAGCACACAGCCCCUGGCAGCCUGCACACACACUCACUCACACACAAACACCACACACUACAAAAACCUGCUCCUCCAACAGCACUCCCACUGAAAGUCCCCUGUUAGCCGCUCUGUUCGCCGCCUCCUGUGCCGCUGCAGCUGACUGUGCCGCUGCCUGAGUGCCUGGCUCCUUAUAUAGGACCCCUAAUCAGGUAAGCCCCGCCCCCAACUCAGGGCUCAGCCUCGCUCUCAGCACACAGCCCCUAGCAGCCUGCACACACACUCACUCACACACAAACACCACACACUACAAAAACC
Gopherus flavomarginatus (Mexican gopher tortoise) is the source of this 325-nucleotide long non-coding RNA. RefSeq lists it as uncharacterized. Lineage: Eukaryota; Metazoa; Chordata; Testudines; Testudinidae. The transcript is spliced from 2 exons. The record is from RefSeq and is a predicted model, not a curated record.